This 1219-nucleotide long non-coding RNA is filed under the name Numida meleagris (helmeted guineafowl). RNAcentral describes it as "lncRNA (ENSNMEG00000011737.1)". The record is from RNAcentral. Lineage: Eukaryota; Metazoa; Chordata; Aves; Galliformes; Numididae.
CAUGAGCUUGGCCCUAUUGUAUCUAGAGUUUCUUUGCUUCUCCAGAUAUUUGCAUCUGAACGUGUGAACUAUCUUCGCAAGUAGCAGUGGCUGGGGCAACCAGGCACCCAUACAGCCAUAACACAGAAUGGAAUGUGUUGGAAGGGACCUCAAAGAUCAUUUAGUUCCACACCUUGGACAGGGUUGCCCACCACUAAAUCAGGCUCUAGAUCAGGUUGCCCACUAGAUCACCUGGCCUUGAUCACCUCCAGGGAUGGGGUAUCUGCAACUUCUCCAGGAAGCUUGUUCCAGCUCCUCACCAUCCUCACCAGGCCCCCACUGGCCAUGAAAAUAUGCAGACCUCUGUACACGGUCCUCAGUCCCAGGGCAGCCCUGGACUGCACUUUUCAUGAAUAGGAAGCUCCUAGGAGUGAUACGUGUCCUGGGAGCCUGUGGGGACGCUCAUGGAGGAUUAGGGCCUCAUUACAGCAAUUGCUGGAUAGAAAGUGUCAUCUUGUGUAAAUGUCUAAUCACAGAGCUGCCUCUCUGUCCUGUAAUUAAGAUACAAAGGUGAAAGUUAUUAAGAAAUAACUGCCACUUCCACAUGGUUCCUGUCAGGUAUGUUGAUUGUGGUAAUCCAUUUUUUAUGGGAUUAAUCUACUUUAAUCUCGGCUUGCACUUUCAUAAGAUUAACUGAAGUGGUGUGCUUUUUAACAGAUCUGGGCUGAUGGUCUGGGAUGAAAGUGCAAAGUGGAAACUGCUCCAAUCCAGACCGCUCUGAAGGAACCAGCCACGUCCUUCUGGAGGACCGAUUUCCUCAUGGUGACUGGCAAGUCCUCAGCACAAACACACCAUGGAUGAAAAACGGGGUCAGGCUUUGUGCUAUGUCCUCCUUUUUAUUUUCCUUAAGCACACAGGGCUGCGGGCAGGAUGGAUCGGGACUGGUGCCUCUCCUGGAAGGGCCAGAGAUAGACUCAGGAGUGAAGUGUCUCUGGUGGCUAUCUGCUCUCCUUUGGAUAAACCAUGACCAUAAACCAUGGCAACAAGAAGAGAAGUCCAGACACAGGUAAGGACCCUGUAAAACUUUCUAUCAGCAUCUCCUAGCAAGCAAGUCACUGACUGACCUGUAAAUAACACCCAGCUCUGUUAUCGUCUGGCAGACUAGGCCAAGUGUGGUGUUAAAAAAAGAGCAGCCUUUCAAAUCUGGACAUAAUAAAAUGCAGUUGUCUCCAGAAUAUCA